GGUGCGAUGGGGGCUGGGGAGCCAGGGGUUAAGGUAAUGUUGGGUCCUGCUUGGUGAGAACUGGGGAGCAUGGGAGGGUUCUGAGCAAGUUUUAAUGUGAUCACUGUGGCGUUUGUGUGGAGAGCAGAUUUAGGAGGGCUGGGGAGGCGAGCAGGCCAGCGAGGAGGCUGCUGCAGGGGCCGGAUGAUAAGGUGGUGGACACAACAGGCUAGGGUGUAGGGGGUGAGGGGUCCGGGUGACACCCAGGCUUUGCUUUCAGGUCCCAUUAACCGGGACGAGGAGGACUGCGGAGAGGAAGCUCAGGGGUCCGGUGUCGGGCAUUUGGUUUAAAGGGCCAAUUGGACAUCCAGGUGUGACGUCCCUCGGGCAGCUGGAUGCAAGGUGUGGGCUAGAGAUACAAAGCCAGGAGUCAUGAGCCCGUAAACAGCUGAGACGGCCGGCCGAGGGAAGGAGGGAGGGGGAGGGGACCGCAGAGGAGGGGGCACCGCACUAUUAGGAUGUCCCCGGAGGUGAGGAGGGACCAGCAAAGGAGCCUGAGAAGGAGCCAGAGAGGGAGGAGGGAGCGAGCAACCGCGUCUGGCACCGCUGAGCGAGAGCAGACAGUCCUAAGAGUGGAGCACAGCAUCCUGAGCACAGACACCAAGCCCGGCUGCCUGGCUCGGCCAGCAUCUGCGAGCGAGGCAAGGUGGCUGGUCUGUGUGCGUACCGCGGAGGUUGACGGUGACACAGCCAAGGGCGGUUUUGGAGGAGUGGGUGGUGGCAGUCCAAGCCUGUUUGGAGAGGGUUUAAAGAGAAAGGGGGCAGAGGAACGGAGGACGACCAGGGGAGCAGAGAAACGGGGCGGUAUCUCCAGGGGAAGUAGAUUCAAGAGGGCGGUUUUUGUUUUUUUAAGCCCAGGAAGAUAACAUAUUUGUAAGCUAAGGGGAAGGGGACAAAGUGACAGAUCCCUCAGUGGACGUAGUUUCUGGGGAGGUUGAGAGGUGGUGGGAGUGGGGGAGCGAGGCGUGGGCUGGGUCAGGGUGGGAGGGCUUGAGUGGAAAUCUGGGCGGUCAGUUGUGAUAAAGUGAUGAGAAAAUCUCCCAGCAGAGGAAAGUGGAGGGCAAGAUCUUAGAGAAAAGGAGGCCAAAGAACCGAGACACUGGGCGUUGGGAGGGUUUUUCCUGGACAUGGAAAUCACCCCGUAUUAGGACAGGGACGUGCUGGAGAGUCAGUGAGCCAGGAACCAAAUCCUUCAAAGAAUGGUGUAGUCUGAUGAUACGAGAUUCAAAACUGAGGUCCUUCUCAGGGUUAGAGAAGGAGAGAGAAUGGUCCAGAAGCAUCUACUUUCCUCCAAUAUGUCUUCUUCUUCCUUAAUAAUAAAACCCCUGAUUUGUAGCUGAGCAUACGGACACCCAGAAAAAAAUACACCCCAGUUUUCCUUGCAGCCAUGUGGCCAAAUUCUGACCCUCAGGAUGUAAGUGGAGGUGUGCGUGCCGCUUCUGGGAAGUGUCCUUUACAGGAGGGGUACACCCUUCUUGGUUACUUUUUACUUCCCACCGUUUGGAAAGAGGACGUAUUGGUUGGAGCUGUAGCAGCCAUCUUGGGCCAUGAGGCAACCUUGGGAGUGUGAGCUGUGACCAUGGAGUAACCAGCUAGGAGCCUUGAUGAGAGAGAGAGAGAGAGACAGAGAGAGAGAGAGAAGAAAGCAAACCCAUCUUGUUUAAUUCACUGUGACAUGGGGAUUUUCUGUUACUUGUAGUCUAACCUGGUGCUAAUGGCUACAACUGGAAAGUUGUGUUCGUGCCACACUGGAGAUGACAUUUCAUGCCGGUGGGCACUGGUGGGCACUGGUGGGCACUGAGAAACCCUUGAAAGUUGAGCGAGCUGAGGCGAGGAUGUGUAGUGAAGGGGUCCAUCUAGAUGGGCCGAAGACAGAUCGGGGACGGCCUCUGCAGGACCGGGUCUGCGAGCGAGGUCGGUACCGAGUUUAACAAGCGAUUCAGGAACGUGAUCGUGCUUAGAGUCGGGCUGGCGUUUACACCAGAGCUGGAUUUCGACUCAGAAAUAGGAAGAGAGCAGCGGCGGGGUCAGGUCUCCCUGGAGGCGUCCGGCCCCCUUCGGAUGGACUUUUGCGGGUUCAGGGUGACGGCGCUAGGAUUCGGGUUUGAUGCAGCGGCCCUCGGGCGGGGCAUUUGGACCUGGAUGGGGGGUUUCGAGUUGUCACAAUUACUGGCGGGGUGGGUGUUGUUCCUGGCGUUUAGAGCAGGAGCUGGAGAUGCUGACUGUUUAGUGCGGGAAAGAGGCCCGGUGGUCCUGCCCCAACUGCCCCGCGCCCCUGGGAAACACGGAGGCAAAGCAGCGCGGGGAAGGCAGAAGCUGAGCGGUGUCGGGUUUGAAUCCCUGCUCUGCCGCUCUCUUCGCUGGGUGCACGCAAACCCUCGCUGUCCCCAUCCGGAGCUGGUGGGUUCAGUCCUAGAGGAUGGGGGUACUCUGAUUGGCCAGCUCGAGUCCUGCGCCCGCCUCUGGGCGGGGCUCUCUGUGAUUGAUAGCCCGGCCCUGUGGGAGGGCUAAAGAGGAAGAGAGGGGCUCUGUCCAGGUCAGCUGGCGAGGAGUCCGCGCGGGGAGCUGUCGUGAGUCAGGAAGGAUGAUGGCAGAGCAGCAGCGGUUGUAAAGUUCACGGAGAGCUUGCUGGGUGCCGGGCACGGUGCUAAGUGCUUUGUCUGUAUUAGCUCGUUUAAUACUCACAACCGUGUCAUAGAUGCUACUUUCACACGUUUUACGUACGAGGCAACUUCACAGAGAGGCGCAGUCACUUGCCCAAGGCCACACAGCCAGGACGCAGCAGAACCAGGGUCCCCCAUCCACAGGCCUCGCUCCGGAGCAGGUGCUGGCGCUCUCCGGGGCGCACCCUGCACCCUCCCCGGGGCAGUAGAACCGGGUCUCCUGCUCCAGGCUGGAGGCGGACCGGGGCGCUCCCCUUCCAGGGCACCUGUGAGCCCAGGAGGACGGAAACACCUCGGCGCAGAUGGCCAUCUGACGUUUGCCGUUACCCCUAGAGCGGAGAGCAGAACCCCAAGGAACAGAAAAGAGAAUAGGCACGUUUAGAGCAGCGGUUCUCACCCCGGCUGCGCUCUGGAAUACUUACCAGAGCUCUACAAAACCCCAGCGCUCAGGCCGCACCCCACACCAGUUAACCUGAAUCUCUAGGUGGGGCCCUGGCAUUUGUAGUCAUUAAGACUCCUCAGGUGAAUUCAACGUCCAGCCAACGUGGGGAACCACUUAGCUUAGAGGCCUCGUGGCUUAGUGGAAACAGCCGUGGGUUAAGAGCCACCUGGCUUUGAGACUUGGUACAGUCAGUGCAAGCUGUGUGACUUUGUGCCAGUCUCUUAACUUCUCGGAGCCUCAAUUUCCUCACCUGUUGACACGGCCUAAGUCUCUCUACCUUUCACAGGGGUUGUGAGGGCCGAAUGAGACGAUGUCUGUAAGGCGUCUAGCACAAAGCUGGCGCUCAGCUCCAUCCUUAGUGUUAGGGAGGGCGCAGAACAGACCAGGGCCUGGUCACAGAUAGGCUCAGGCCUGCGCAGGACCAUCCGCGGAGGCAGAGCGGCGCCAACGACUCACCAUCACUGGGACGAGGCUGUGGAAUGGGUUUUGCUGAGAUCCUCAGACCCCGGGUCCUCACCGAGGGGCUUGAGGCUUCUGAAUCAGAGGAGGCUUGGACCGGGUGG
Molecule: long non-coding RNA, 3707 nt
Filed under: Equus caballus (horse)
Lineage: Eukaryota; Metazoa; Chordata; Mammalia; Perissodactyla; Equidae
Description: lncRNA (ENSECAG00000059339.1)
Source: RNAcentral